Molecule: long non-coding RNA, 629 nt
Filed under: Mytilus galloprovincialis (Mediterranean mussel)
Lineage: Eukaryota; Metazoa; Mollusca; Bivalvia; Mytilida; Mytilidae
Source: RNAcentral
UUAUUAUGCCCCACCUACGAUAGUAGUCGGGCAUUAUGUUUUCUGGUCUGUGGCUCCGUUCGUCUGUGCGUCCGUCCGUUCAGGUUAAAGUUUUUGGUCAAGGUAAUGAAGCUGAAGUCCAAUCAACUUGAAACUUAGUAGACUUGUUGCUUAUGAUAUGAUCUUUCUAAUUUUAAAGCCAAAUUAGACUUUUGACCCCAAUUUCACGGUCCACUGAACAUAGAAAAUGAAAGGGGAGUUUCAGGUUAAAGUUUUUGGUCAAGGUAGCUUUUGGUGAAGCUGAAGUCCAAUCAACUUGAAACUUAGUAAACUUGUUGCUUAUGAUAUAAUCUUUUUAAUUUUGAAGCCAAAUUAGACUUUUGACCCCAAUUUCACGGUCCACUAAACAUAGAAAAUGAAAGUGGGAGUUUCAGGUUAAAGUUUUUGGUCAAGGUAGUUUUUGAUAAAAUUGAAGUCCAAUCAACUUGAAACUUAGUACAUAUGUUCCCUAUAGUAUAAUCUUUCUAAUUUUAAUACCAAAUUAGAUUAUUACCCAAUUUCACGGUCCAUGGAACAUGGAAAAGGAUAGUGCGAGUGGGGCAUCCGUGUACUUUGGACACAUUCUUGUUUUUAAUAAUAUUUUAUUAGUU